Molecule: long non-coding RNA, 1838 nt
Filed under: Homo sapiens (human)
Lineage: Eukaryota; Metazoa; Chordata; Mammalia; Primates; Hominidae
Description: non-protein coding lnc-ADAMTS15-1:15
Source: RNAcentral
CUCUUGGCCGUCGGGACUUGUACUGUUGGUGACUCCGUCUCCUUAGACGGUGGAGCCUGCGUGACCCAGAAAGGCCGUGAGUCUUGACACUGUAUUUUUGCAUAUGUGCGCACAUGUGCCGAUUUACAUUCACAUGCCCCAUAAGCCCUGUCCCAUUUGUCCUUCCUCUAAGCCGUCCUCUUACCCAGUUCCCCUCUCACACCUGAGAAGCAUUUCUCCGCAGGAGUCACAUUUAUAGCAUUAUUUUUUUCUUCGAACUAAAAACAUAACUCCUAUUUUCUCGGGUAGUUUUUGUAGGGAGGUCGAAAUAGAAACACUUCAGCCCCUCUUCGGCGAGGGAGGUUAGUUGGUAAGGUGCCCAUUGUUCACCCAUGGAAACAGGCCUGCCAAGGGCCGCCCCGCAGACAGGUGAGCCCGCGCCCCCGUCCUGGGCGGACUGCGACAUGCGGCGGGUGUCUGGAUUGCGUGGCUCCUCGGGCCUCCUCGCAGUGCUUGCUCUCUUCCGUUCUAGCACUUGCCUCGGUGACCUGGCAGGACGUGCGGUUCUUGAGAUGAGUGGAGAAACGGACUCCCAGGUCCCUCUCGUUCUUCCAACACAGGGACAGCUAGAGCUGCUCCAAAAAUAUACCCUACUUCUUCCACAACCGUGAAUCUGUCAUUUUUACUGCACCAUCACUUACUUCCUGGCCUUCCCGGAGGAAGUGUGCGGGCCUCCCCGAAGUAACCGGUACCGCCCGGGGGGUUUUGAAGUUCUUGGUCAACUGCAAAAUCAAUCAACCUAGUUAACUCCUAGGGCCCUAAGUCUUGGCUUCCCCUGGCCAGGCGGGCGAGCGCUCUCCACACCGCCCCCGGAGGUCAUAGGGGUUCCCGGGACUGCAGGCGGCAGCGCCCCAGGUGCCUGGGGGCGGGCGGGGUGCGGGCAGGUGCUCCUUGGGCGCUUUCUGUUUUCCCACGCCUCCAGUUUGCAAACCGAAAGACUUCUUUCCAGAGGGUUUUGUGCAAGGUGGGUGGACGUCCCGCUGAAGUAGAGUGGAUUUUCCUUUUGAAACACUUGGCAACAUCUCACAUUAAUUCACUCUGAGAGACAAGCAGCCAAGCACCUGAACACCCUGACACUUGCAAUCUUCUUUAGGAAUAAAGGCAAUAAAAACAACUUCUGUUUUUAUAGUCCUUCGCAGUUUCCAACAAGUUUUCAAGCAUGUAUAAUGUUAUCUAAUCCUUACGGCAACUGUAAUUCACAGGUUUUAUCACAGGUUUCUAUUAUUAUUCCCACUAUCAUUCUUAUUAUUCCCAUUUCAGAGAUGAGAAAAAUCAGAAAGAUGCGAACUAGGCCCAGAAACUUUUGCACUAAGUUUUGAAGAGGGGAAGGGAAAGAAGGCGGAAUGCUUACCUGGGAGAGGACUGGCGGCCACAGAGCAGGGCUCAGGAAAGGGCAUGAGCUGGGGCCCUGGUGAGGAAUGUGUGAGAAUGUAUGUAGGUGGUAAGCAACUGGACAAGAAUCAGGGUGGAAAUGAAGUAGUCAAAUCCUAUCUACCUCUCCUAGUGCCUUUAACAGGAUAGUCAAUAAAAGACCAUGAGGCAAGUCUUUUCUAAGUGCUUCUCCAGGGGCUGUGGUGGCAGCUCCUCAACUACUACACUGACACAAAAAUUUGCUUUCCUUUGUAGUACAACUUGAAGUCAGGUAGAGGAAUGCCUCUAGCUUUGUUAUUUUUGCUCAGAAUUGCCCUAGCUUUUCAGGGUCUUUUGUGGUUCCAUACAAAUUUUAGGAUUUUUUUUUCUAGUUCUGUGAUGAGUGUCAUUGAUAUUUUGGUAGGGAUUGUACUGUACCUGUAGGUGGC